UUAAUUCUGACUUCGAUCUCCGCUUCUCGAUCCACUGGCUCUCUGGCUGACCUUUCUGGCAUAGCUUUAAGAGGAGGCUGGUCAUGAAACCAUGGCAGAUACCAAUAGUCUACCUCGCCCUUGUCGCGGUCUUCCACCAUGUGAUCAAAACUCGAAAGUACACAUCCUCCCCAAAUCUUAAGUAUCUCAGUCUUCCUUAGAGGGAUGUUAGGGAGGAAUUCGUACAUGAACUCU
Molecule: long non-coding RNA, 234 nt
Filed under: Capsicum annuum
Lineage: Eukaryota; Viridiplantae; Streptophyta; Magnoliopsida; Solanales; Solanaceae
Description: long non-coding RNA (CANN_LNC021900)
Source: RNAcentral